Molecule: ribosomal RNA, 592 nt
Filed under: uncultured bacterium
Lineage: Bacteria
Description: partial 16S ribosomal RNA
Rfam family: Bacterial small subunit ribosomal RNA
Source: RNAcentral
UGGGGAAUUUUGGACAAUGGGCGAAAGCCUGAUCCAGCAAUGCCGCGUGAGUGAAGAAGGUUUUCGGAUCGUAAAACUCUGUCUUUUGGGGCGAACGUGAGUAUGGUGAACAAUCAUAGUCAGUGACGGUACCAAAGGAGGAAGCCACGGCUAACUACGUGCCAGCAGCCGCGGUAAUACGUAGGUGGCAAGCGUUGUCCGGAAUUAUUGGGCGUAAAGAGCGCGUAGGCGGGAUAGUCAGUCUGUUGUAAAAGUGCGGGGCUCAACCCCGUGAUCGCAAUGGAAACAGCUAUUCUUGAGUGCAGGAGAGGAAAGUGGAAUUCCCAGUGUAGCGGUGAAAUGCGUAGAUAUUGGGAGGAACACCAGUGGCGAAGGCGACUUUCUGGACUGUGUCUGACGCUGAGGCGCGAAAGCCAGGGGGAGCGAACGGGAUUAGAUACCCCGGUAGUCCUGGCCGUAAACGAUGGGUACUAGGUGUGGGAGGUAUCGACCCCCUUCCGUGCCAGAGUUAACGCAAUAAGUACCCCCGCCUGGGGAGUACGGUCGCAAGACUGAAACUUAAAUGAAUUGACGGGGGUCAUAGCUGUUUCCU